RNAcentral lists this ribosomal RNA (275 nucleotides) under uncultured bacterium. RNAcentral describes it as "partial 16S ribosomal RNA". It matches the Rfam family "Bacterial small subunit ribosomal RNA", at positions 338 to 607 of the family's 1533-position model. The record is from RNAcentral.
CCUACGGGUGGCUGCAGUAGGGAAUAUUGGGCAAUGGGGGCAACCCUGACCCAGCCAUGCCGCGUGCAGGAAGAAGGCCCUCUGGGUUGUAAACUGCUUUUGACCGGGAAGAAGGCUCUGUUUGCGAACAGGGUCGGACGGUACCGGAGAGAAUAAGCACCGGCUAACUACGUGCCAGCAGCCGCGGUAAUACGUAGGGUGCGAGCGUUGUCCGGAUUCACUGGGUUUAAAGGGUGCGCAGGCGGCCCGUGCAAGUCAGCGUUCAAAGUCCGGGG